GACGAACGCUGGCGGCGUGCUUAACACAUGCAAGUCGAACGGAAAGGCCCUGCUUUUGUGGGGUGCUCGAGUGGCGAACGGGUGAGUUACCCGUGAGUAACCUGUCAUUGACUUUGGGAUAACUUCAGGAAACUUGGGCUAAUACCGGAUAGGAGCUACUGCUGCAUGGUGGGGGUUGGAAAGUUUCGGUGGUUGUGGAUGGACUCGCGGCCUAUCAGCUUGUUGGUGGGGUAGUGGCUUAGCAUGGCUUUGACCGGUAGCCGGCCUGGGAGGGGGGCCUGCCAAAUUGGGACGGAAAUACGACCCGGACUCCUACGGGACGGAGGGGUGGAGAAGGGUGCACAAUGGGCGGGAGCCUGGUGCGGCAAAGCCGUGUGCGGGGUGACGGCCAGCGGUUAGUAUUCCGCAUUCGCCUUUGACGGAGCGUUAGUGACGGUAAUGGGUGAAGAAGCACCGGCUAACUACGUG
This 468-nucleotide ribosomal RNA is filed under the name uncultured bacterium. RNAcentral's name for it is "partial 16S ribosomal RNA". It matches the Rfam family "Bacterial small subunit ribosomal RNA", at positions 28 to 507 of the family's 1533-position model. The record is from RNAcentral.